RNAcentral lists this ribosomal RNA (352 nucleotides) under Vibrio parahaemolyticus. RNAcentral describes it as "partial 23S ribosomal RNA". It matches the Rfam family "Bacterial large subunit ribosomal RNA", at positions 1 to 390 of the family's 2925-position model. Lineage: Bacteria; Pseudomonadati; Pseudomonadota; Gammaproteobacteria; Vibrionales; Vibrionaceae. The record is from RNAcentral.
GUUGUAUGGUUAAGUGACUAAGCGUACACGGUGGAUGCCUUGGCAGUCAGAGGCGAUGAAGGACGUAUUAACUUGCGAUAAGCCCAGAUUAGGCAGUAAAAGCCACUUGAGUCUGGGAUUUCCGAAUGGGGAAACCCAACUGCAUAAGCAGUUACUGUUAACUGAAUACAUAGGUUAACAGGGCGAACCGGGGGAACUGAAACAUCUAAGUACCCCGAGGAAAAGAAAUCAACCGAGAUUCCGAAAGUAGCGGCGAGCGAAAUUGGACUAGCCCUUAAGCUUUAUAUGCGUUAGACGAACGGUCUGGAAAGUCCGGCGAUACAGGGUGAUAGCCCCGUAGUUGACAACGCAC